GAUGAACGCUGGCGGCGUGCUUAACACAUGCAAGUCGAACGAAGCACUUUAUUUGAUUUCCUUCGGGACUGAUUAUUUUGUGACUGAGUGGCGGACGGGUGAGUAACGCGUGGGUAACCUGCCUUGUACAGGGGGAUAACAGUUGGAAACGGCUGCUAAUACCGCAUAAGCGCACAGCAUCGCAUGAUGCAGUGUGAAAAACUCCGGUGGUAUAAGAUGGACCCGCGUUGGAUUAGCUAGUUGGUGAGGUAACGGCCCACCAAGGCGACGAUCCAUAGCCGACCUGAGAGGGUGACCGGCCACAUUGGGACUGGGACACGGCCCAAACUCCUACGGGAGGCAGCAGUGGGGAAUAUUGCACAAUGGGCGAAAGCCUGAUGCAGCGACGCCGCGUGAGCGAAGAAGUAUUUCGGUAUGUAAAGCUCUAUCAGCAGGGAAGAUAAUGACGGUACCUGACUAAGAAGCACCGGCUAAAUACGUG
Molecule: ribosomal RNA, 481 nt
Filed under: uncultured bacterium
Lineage: Bacteria
Description: partial 16S ribosomal RNA
Rfam family: Bacterial small subunit ribosomal RNA
Source: RNAcentral